Molecule: ribosomal RNA, 483 nt
Filed under: uncultured bacterium
Lineage: Bacteria
Description: partial 16S ribosomal RNA
Rfam family: Bacterial small subunit ribosomal RNA
Source: RNAcentral
GACGAACGCUGGCGGCGUGCUUAACACAUGCAAGUCGAACGCUGAAGCUCAGCUGUUGUUGGGUGGAUGAGUGGCGAACGGGUGAGUAACACGUGAGUAACCUGCCCCCUUCUUUGGGAUAACGCCCGGAAACGGGUGCUAAUACUGGAUAUUCACUGGUCUUCGCAUGGGGGUUGGUGGAAAGGGUUUUUCUGGUGGGGGAUGGGCUCGCGGCCUAUCAGCUUGUUGGUGGGGUGAUGGCCUACCAAGGCUUUGACGGGUAGCCGGCCUGAGAGGGUGACCGGUCACAUUGGGACUGAGAUACGGCCCAGACUCCUACGGGAGGCAGCAGUGGGGAAUAUUGCACAAUGGGCGCAAGCCUGAUGCAGCGACGCCGCGUGAGGGAUGGAGGCCUUCGGGUUGUGAACCUCUUUCGCUCAUGGUCAAGCCGCAACAAUGGUUGUGGUGAGGGUAGUGGGUAAAGAAGCGCCGGCUAACUACGUG